AUAUCUCAUACCUGUCAUGCAAAUUUUGAGAAGAUUGAAAUUUGAAUCAUCUCCAUAUGGGAGGUGCUAGCACAUGUCUCUGCACAUCCUCUCAAAAAUGGUGGAAAGCGUGAUUUGCUUGCCACUGGCUUUAACUACCAAAUCGGCGGUAGAAAUUAUAUCCGUCCAUGGUCACCACACAUCGUGCGCACAUUCACCUUCUAUCGAUUGAUGUCUCCUACAAUUAAUGCACUAAUGGGA
This 240-nucleotide long non-coding RNA is filed under the name Elaeis guineensis (African oil palm). Its description in RNAcentral is "long non-coding RNA (EGUI_LNC059128)". The record is from RNAcentral. Lineage: Eukaryota; Viridiplantae; Streptophyta; Magnoliopsida; Arecales; Arecaceae.